UCACUGUCCAGGACAGUGCAGUACUGGAAUGACUUGCUUGGGGAGUCUGUGGUGUCUUCAUCAUGGGAGGUUUUUUCAGAACAAGUUGGACAAACAACAUUUGCCACUGCUCUCUCAGCGAUGUACUGAUGAGUCACGAUGACUUACACUGAGCCUCUGACCCUGGAAGAAGGAGGAGAGGGAUGCUACUUGAAGACAGUGCUGGUGACUGAAGGAGGUGCUCAGGCACCCCUCUUUAUGCAUGCUAGUACUGAAAAAAAGUGGUAUGUGUUUCUCAAGCAAUUAGGUGAGCAGUGGCUCUUCUGUUCCCUGAACAAAUGGUGAAAUGUAUUUUGCAAAGAUUCUAACUUUUAUGUAGUUGGAGAUUUAAAAGGAUCUCUUCCCUUUUUGAGUAUUUAUAUAUGAAAA
Long non-coding RNA from Pezoporus occidentalis (night parrot), 408 nucleotides. RefSeq lists it as uncharacterized. NCBI's taxonomy places the organism in Eukaryota, Metazoa, Chordata, Aves, Psittaciformes, Psittacidae. The record is from RefSeq and is a predicted model, not a curated record. The transcript is spliced from 3 exons.